UACGUAGGGCGCAAGCGUUGUCCGGAAUUAUUGGGCGUAAAGAGCUUGUAGGCGGAUUGUCGCGUCUGCUGUGAAAAUCCGGGGCUCAACCCCGGACUUGCAGUGGGUACGGGCAGACUAGAGUGUGGUAGGGGAGACUGGAAUUCCUGGUGUAGCGGUGGAAUGCGCAGAUAUCAGGAGGAACACCGAUGGCGAAGGCAGGUCUCUGGGCCACUACUGACGCUGAGAAGCGAAAGCAUGGGGAGCGAACAGG
This 253-nucleotide ribosomal RNA is filed under the name uncultured bacterium. RNAcentral describes it as "partial 16S ribosomal RNA". It matches the Rfam family "Bacterial small subunit ribosomal RNA", at positions 524 to 776 of the family's 1533-position model. The record is from RNAcentral.